GCCUGCGUAGCUCAAACGGGAGAGCACCUCCGGGGGGUCGGAGGAGAUCCGGGUUCGAGUCCCGGCGCAGGCA
This 73-nucleotide transfer RNA is filed under the name Actinomadura violacea. Its description in RNAcentral is "Actinomadura sp. LCR2-06 tRNA-OTHER". It matches the Rfam family "tRNA". From Rfam's summary of the family: Transfer RNA (tRNA) molecules are approximately 80 nucleotides in length. Their secondary structure includes four short double-helical elements and three loops (D, anti-codon, and T loops). Lineage: Bacteria; Bacillati; Actinomycetota; Actinomycetes; Streptosporangiales; Thermomonosporaceae. The record is from RNAcentral.